RNAcentral lists this ribosomal RNA (456 nucleotides) under Triticum aestivum (bread wheat). Its description in RNAcentral is "partial small subunit ribosomal RNA". The record is from RNAcentral. Lineage: Eukaryota; Viridiplantae; Streptophyta; Magnoliopsida; Poales; Poaceae.
AUGAAGAAUGUCUUGCAACGAGCCGGCGUGGACGACCCCAUUUUAAUGAAGUUCCACUUCAUGAUGGGAUUGCGCAACGACAUCUCCAAGACUAUCUUCCUCGAGAACUACAAGUCCCUCGACGACUACUACAUUGGUGCUCUCAAGGCGGAACAAGAACUCAUGAAGGCCAAGGCUUCUCCACCCAAGCACACUUCUCGAAGACCAAGCUCCAAGACGGCGAGCAUGAGGAUAGUACCACCACGAUGUCCAAACCCGACAAGCUCCAAGACGACGCUCCCAAGUUUGACUUCACCGCCAUCCCACUUUAUGGCAUUGAUAAUGCCGAGUCUACUUCGACUCUUUCAAGAUGGUGCGGCGACGACUACGACUACGGAGGCAUUCAAGGACCAAGCUUUGGAGGCGAACGACAUGGUGACGAGCAAGGAUGAUACUUCCAUCUUUGGAGGCGAGUGA